RNAcentral lists this ribosomal RNA (788 nucleotides) under Theridion sangzhiense. Its description in RNAcentral is "bacterial SSU rRNA". It matches the Rfam family "Eukaryotic small subunit ribosomal RNA", at positions 989 to 1798 of the family's 1831-position model. Lineage: Eukaryota; Metazoa; Arthropoda; Arachnida; Araneae; Theridiidae. The record is from RNAcentral.
GUUAGAUGACCGAAGGCGAUCAGAUACCGCCCUAGUUCUAACCAUAAACGAUGCCAGCCAGCGAUCCGGCUGUGUUCCUCAAAUGACACGCCGGGCAGCUUCCGGGAAACAAAGCUUUUGGGUUCCGGGGGAAGUAUGGUUGCAAAGCUCAAACUUAAAGGAAUUGACGGAAGGGCACACAAGCGAUGGGUCCUGCGGCUCAAUUUGACUCAACACGGGAAAGCUCACCCAGUCCAAGCACACGAAGGAUUGACAGAUUAAGAGCUCUUUCUUGAUUAUGUGGGGGGUGGUGCACGGCCGUUCCUAGUUGGUGGAGUGAUUUGUCUGAUUAAUUUCGGUAACGAGCGAGAUUCUAACCUGCUAAAUAGACGUUCCGAUCCUCUACGUCGGACGCUCUUCUUAGAGGGACGAGCGGCGCUUAGCCGCACGAGACAGAGCAAUAACAGGUCUGAGAUGCCCUUAGAUGUCUGGGGCUGCACGCGCGACACACUGAAGGAAUCAACGUGUGAUACCCCUGUCCGACAGGACUGGGUAACCCGAUGAAACUCCUUCGUGAUGGGGAUAGGACGUUGAAACUGUCGUCCUUGAACGAGGAAUCCCCAGUAAGCGCGAAUCAUUAAUUCGUGCUGAUUAUGUCCCUGCCCUUUGUUCACACCGCCCGUCGCUAUUACCGAUUGAAUUAUCCAGUGAGGUCUUCGGACUGGCGCUCGGACUGGCCUCCGUGUCGGGCCGCGUGCCGGAAAGAUGACCGAACUUGAUUAUUUAGAGGAAAUAAAAGUCGUAACAAG